Molecule: ribosomal RNA, 430 nt
Filed under: uncultured bacterium
Lineage: Bacteria
Description: partial 16S ribosomal RNA
Rfam family: Bacterial small subunit ribosomal RNA
Source: RNAcentral
CCUACGGGUGGCAGCAGUCGAGAAUCUUUCACAAUGGGGGCAACCCUGAUGGAGCGACGCCGCGUGGAGGAUAAGGUCUUCGGAUUGUAAACUCCUGUCAUGCGAGAGCUAGUAUCGCAAGAGGAAGAGACGGCUAACUCUGUGCCAGCAGCCGCGGUAAUACAGAGGUCUCAAGCGUUGUUCGGAAUCACUGGGCGUAAAGGGUGCGUAGGCUGCGGAGUAAGUCGGGUGUGAAAUUUGAGGGCUCAACCCUCAACUAGCACCUGAUACUGCUUCGCUAGAGACCUGGAGAGGAGUUUGGAAUUCUCGGUGUAGCAGUGAAAUGCGUAGAUUUCGAGAAGAACACUCGCUGCGAAAGCGAAACUCUGGACAGGCUGACGCUGAGGCACGAAGGCUAGGGGAGCAAACGGGAUUAGAUACCCUUGUAGUC